GGCCCGUUGGUCUAGGGGUAUGAUUCUCGCUUUGGGUUGCGAGAGGUCAGGGUUUCAAAUCCCGGACGGGCCC
This 73-nucleotide transfer RNA is filed under the name Ixodes scapularis (black-legged tick). RNAcentral describes it as "tRNA-Pro for anticodon UGG". It matches the Rfam family "tRNA". From Rfam's summary of the family: Transfer RNA (tRNA) molecules are approximately 80 nucleotides in length. The record is from RNAcentral. Lineage: Eukaryota; Metazoa; Arthropoda; Arachnida; Ixodida; Ixodidae.